AGACAGGUGGCUGCGAUGGCUGUGUCAGCUCGUGUCGUGAGAUGUUGGGUUAAGUCCCGCAACGAGCGCAACCCUUGCCUUUAGUUGCCAGCAGUUCGGCUGGGCACUCUAAAGGGACUGCCGGUGUUAAACCGGAGGAAGGUGGGGAUGACGUCAAGUCCUCAUGGCCUUUAUGACCAGGGCUACACACGUACUACAAUGGCCGAUACAAAGGGCAGCGACACUGCGAGGUGAAGCCAAUCCCGUAAAAUCGGUCUCAGUCCGGAUUGGAGUCUGCAACUCGACUCCAUGAAGUUGGAAUCGCUAGUAAUCGUGGAUCAGCAUGCCACGGUGAAUACGUUCCCGGGCCUU
This 351-nucleotide ribosomal RNA is filed under the name uncultured Desulfobulbus sp. Its description in RNAcentral is "bacterial SSU rRNA". It matches the Rfam family "Bacterial small subunit ribosomal RNA", at positions 1032 to 1382 of the family's 1533-position model. Lineage: Bacteria; Pseudomonadati; Thermodesulfobacteriota; Desulfobulbia; Desulfobulbales; Desulfobulbaceae. The record is from RNAcentral.